RNAcentral lists this ribosomal RNA (427 nucleotides) under uncultured bacterium. RNAcentral describes it as "partial 16S ribosomal RNA". It matches the Rfam family "Bacterial small subunit ribosomal RNA", at positions 355 to 774 of the family's 1533-position model. The record is from RNAcentral.
UGGGGAAUAUUGGACAAUGGGCGAAAGCCUGAUCCAGCCAUGCCGCGUGUGUGAAGAAGGUCUUCGGAUUGUAAAGCACUUUAAGUUGGGAGGAAGGGCAUUAACCUAAUACGUUAGUGUUUUGACGUUACCGACAGAAUAAGCACCGGCUAACUCUGUGCCAGCAGCCGCGGUAAUACAGAGGGUGCAAGCGUUAAUCGGAAUUACUGGGCGUAAAGCGCGCGUAGGUGGUUUGUUAAGUUGGAUGUGAAAGCCCCGGGCUCAACCUGGGAACUGCAUCCAAAACUGGUAAGCUAGAGUACGGUAGAGGGUGGUGGAAUUUCCUGUGUAGCGGUGAAAUGCGUAGAUAUAGGAAGGAACACCAGUGGCGAAGGCGACCACCUGGACUGAUACUGACACUGAGGUGCGAAAGCGUGGGGAGCAAACA